UUGAACGCUGGCGGCAUGCCUUACACAUGCAAGUCGAACGGUAGAGGGGCAACCCUUGAGAGUGGCGAACGGGUGAGUAAUGCAUCGGAACGUGCCCAGUCGUGGGGGAUAACGCAGCGAAAGCUGUGCUAAUACCGCAUGUGAUCUGUGGAUGAAAGCAGGGGACCGCAAGGCCUUGUGCGAUUGGAGCGGCCGAUGUCAGAUUAGCUAGUUGGUAGGGUAAAA
This 225-nucleotide ribosomal RNA is filed under the name uncultured bacterium. RNAcentral's name for it is "partial 16S ribosomal RNA". It matches the Rfam family "Bacterial small subunit ribosomal RNA", at positions 30 to 262 of the family's 1533-position model. The record is from RNAcentral.